RNAcentral lists this ribosomal RNA (840 nucleotides) under Brunneomyces pseudozeylanicus. Its description in RNAcentral is "eukaryotic LSU rRNA". It matches the Rfam family "Eukaryotic large subunit ribosomal RNA", at positions 72 to 943 of the family's 3401-position model. The record is from RNAcentral. Lineage: Eukaryota; Fungi; Ascomycota; Sordariomycetes; Glomerellales; Plectosphaerellaceae.
GGAUUGCCCCAGUAACGGCGAGUGAAGCGGCAACAGCUCAAAUUUGAAAUCUGGGCCCCCAGGGCCCGAGUUGUAAUUUGUAGAGGAUGCUUUUGGCGCGGUGCCUUCCGAGUUCCCUGGAACGGGACGCCAUAGAGGGUGAGAGCCCCGUCUGGUUGGACACCUAGCCUCUGUAAAGCUCCUUCGACGAGUCGAGUAGUUUGGGAAUGCUGCUCUAAAUGGGAGGUAUAUGUCUUCUAAAGCUAAAUACCGGCCAGAGACCGAUAGCGCACAAGUAGAGUGAUCGAAAGAUGAAAAGCACUUUGAAAAGAGGGUUAAAUAGUACGUGAAAUUGUUGAAAGGGAAGCGUUUGUGACCAGACUUGGGCCCGGUUGAUCAUCCACCGUUCUCGGUGGUGCACUCUGCCGGCCCAGGCCAGCAUCAGUUCGCGCCGGGGGAUAAAGGCUUCGGGAAUGUGGCUCCUCCGGGAGUGUUAUAGCCCGUUGUGUAAUACCCUGGUGCGGACUGAGGUUCGCGCUCCGCAAGGAUGCUGGCGUAAUGGUCAUCAGCGACCCGUCUUGAAACACGGACCAAGGAGUCGUCUUCGUAUGCGAGUGUUCGGGUGUCAAACCCCUACGCGUAAUGAAAGUGAACGCAGGUGAGAGCUUCGGCGCAUCAUCGACCGAUCCUGAUGUUCUCGGAUGGAUUUGAGUAAGAGCAUACGGGGCCGGACCCGAAAGAAGGUGAACUAUGCCUGUAUAGGGUGAAGCCAGAGGAAACUCUGGUGGAGGCUCGCAGCGGUUCUGACGUGCAAAUCGAUCGUCAAAUAUGGGCAUGGGGGCGAAAGACUAAUCGAACCUU